This 89-nucleotide transfer RNA is filed under the name Streptococcus thermophilus. Its description in RNAcentral is "tRNA-Ser". It matches the Rfam family "tRNA". Rfam says of the family: Transfer RNA (tRNA) molecules are approximately 80 nucleotides in length. Their secondary structure includes four short double-helical elements and three loops (D, anti-codon, and T loops). Further hydrogen bonds mediate the characteristic L-shaped molecular structure. tRNAs have two regions of fundamental functional importance: the anti-codon, which is responsible for specific mRNA codon recognition, and the 3' end, to which the tRNAs corresponding amino acid is attached (by aminoacyl-tRNA synthetases). tRNAs cope with the degeneracy of the genetic code in two manners: having more than one tRNA (with a specific anti-codon) for a particular amino acid; and 'wobble' base-pairing, i.e. permitting non-standard base-pairing at the 3rd anti-codon position. Lineage: Bacteria; Bacillati; Bacillota; Bacilli; Lactobacillales; Streptococcaceae. The record is from RNAcentral.
GGAGAAUUACUCAAGAGGCUGAAGAGGACGGUUUGCUAAAUCGUUAGGUCGGGUAACUGACGCGGGGGUUCGAAUCCCCCAUUCUCCGU